UUCUAACUGGAGUGUCGACACACAUCCUUUGCACAUGUCCAAACCAUCUCAAUUUCGCUUCUCUUAUCAUGUCUGCUACAAAGUUUACUUUCACCUUCUCCCGAAUAACAUCAUUCAUAAUCUUGUCACUCUUAAUAUGUCCAUAGAUCCAUCUCAAUAUCCUCAUUUUUAUAAUAUAUAUUUUUUGAACAUUAGAUUUCUAAACUGUCUAAUGCUCGACCCCAUAUAACAAAAACGAUUUAACCAUCAUUCCGCAGAAGAUACUUGAAUCUAUUAUGCAUAACACAUUAUUCUAUAUUAUCGUGGCUAUUUUCACGGUUGGAACCCAUUUGAUCAGAAGCUAUGGGCCAUUAUUAGUGGUAUCAUCAUCAUCUCCUUAGCAUCUCUCCUCAUCCCCUUUUCCCAACAAACCGACAAACCAUAGUUGAUCAGAUUGAACUUUGCAUAUCUCCUUCUCUCUUUCUCACACCAAAAUAUCUCAUUCUUCCCAAAUUGAAAACACCCAAAUCUCUGAAAUCUUGCAAAAACGCCCAAAUCCAUGCCAAUUCCGAUUCAAAAUCAAGAAACUAAACCGAAAAGAUUGAUUUCCCUAUUCAUAAAAUGCGUAAUCAUGGCUUUAUUCCUAUCCCUUUUCUUGAUUUUCCUUCUUUUUCUCGGUUUUGCUGCCCUUGUCCUUCUCCACUUCUUAAUCACCUCCACCGCCUUCCACCGCCGUCAUCGCCGUCGCAACCACCACCACCGAUUUCCGGCGAACCCAACAUCCUCGUUUGAUCUGCCUUGUGUGAUUUAUUGUGGGUCACAGCAAUCUUUUAGGGAUUGUGCGAUUUGCUUGGAGGGAUUCAAGGAUGGAGAAUUUUGCAGGAAAUUGCCUGAUUGUGGACACCUUUUUCAUGUGAAAUGUGUGGAUUCUUGGCUUACAAGGGUUUUGAAUUGCCCUAUUUGUCGGACCCGGGUUCGGGUCGAUUCGGGCAAUUCGGGUUCUGUUAUUAGUGAUGAAGAUUGGAAGAGAUGGUGGGCUGUUGGUGUUUCAGGGUAGCUGAAAUUUCUGCAUUUUGGGGUUGAAUUGAAACAAGAAACCACAAAACAGGACACAAAGUAGUACAAGUUAGAGGAGCAAAAGAUAUGCUGAUACCAAGAGGAGAAUGAUGGAGAGGAAGUGCAACGAUUUGCUUACCCCGUGAACUUAUGGAGGUUUGAAUCAAUGACUUCUGAUGUGAAUUUCACUGCGUAAAACAACAUGAACUGUAGUUUCCUUCAUGUUUCUUUUAGUGUAGUUUCUUCCCAAAUUAAUGAUUUGGAGAUGAUCAUAUGUAUAAAUGUAAUUGCAUGCUUAUUUUAGUUGAUCGCAAAACAUAAAUUUUUGCCUUAAAACUGUGUAUUGUACAUGGAUGAGUUUUGCACUUUUC
Molecule: long non-coding RNA, 1406 nt
Organism: Solanum dulcamara
Lineage: Eukaryota; Viridiplantae; Streptophyta; Magnoliopsida; Solanales; Solanaceae
Exons: 2
Source: RefSeq, a predicted model, not a curated record